RNAcentral lists this long non-coding RNA (1212 nucleotides) under Salmo salar (Atlantic salmon). Its description in RNAcentral is "lncRNA (ENSSSAG00000109334.1)". Lineage: Eukaryota; Metazoa; Chordata; Actinopteri; Salmoniformes; Salmonidae. The record is from RNAcentral.
AAAAGGAGAGCCGCACUCUCUUGCUCAGACUCAAUAAUUGAAUAACCUAAUAUCCAACGUUCCGACCGACAAGCUGUCUUCAUCAUUGUAUGUUAGGAGGACCUCUGACCGUACCUCAUUGAAAAGGUGAAGGUACUGAAGGAGAAGAUAACUUCCCAGUGUCUGGACAGAAGCUCAUAUAUGCUGGCAAAAUCCUGCAAGAUGACACACCUAUUAAAGACUACAAAAUUGACGAGAAGAAUUUCGUUGUAGUUAUGGUAUCGAAGGCAAAGUCUGCCACAGCUGCUUCAACACCUUCCUCAGAGGCAUCCAAGGCCCCUGUCCAGGACUCUGGGUCGUCUGCGGGCCCGGCCCCUGCAGCCAUCCCUAUCCCCCCAGAGGAGCCCACACCUCCAGUCGCAGAGCCCCCAGCUCUGAUGUCCUCUUAGUCUUUCCCACAGUAGUUGUGGGUCAAGACUGUCUUCCAAACUGAUCUGUGAUGUAUGGUCUGUUACAUUGCCAUUCAUUGUUCCAUUACUUUAUUGUAUUUGUGGUUACAUUCAAAUCCUGAGGGAGUGCGUAGAUAGACUGUGCACAGACACACAAUAUUGUUUUAAUAUUAUUAACUUUUUCCACUUUUUACUCAACAUGAAUGAAUGAUAGAGAUUGCCUCUUAUACAGUGCAUUCGGAACGUAUUCACACCCAUUGACUUUUUCCACAUUUUGUUACGUUACAGCCUUAUUCAAAAAGGAUAAAAAAAUUACAAAUCCUCAUCAAUCUACACACAAUACCCCAUAAUGACAAAGUGAAGACAGGUUUUUAGACAUUCUAGCAAAUUUAUACAAAAUAAAAAACAGAAAUACUUGUACAUGAUUGUACAUGAUUUGGAAAGGCACACCUGUCUAUAUAAGGUCCCGCAGUUGACAGUGCAUGUCAGAACAAAAACCAAGCCAUGAGGUCGAAGGAAUUGUCCUCCAUCAUUCCUAAAUGGAAGAAGUUUGGAACCUCAAAGACUCCUAGAGCUGGCUGCCUGGCCAAACUGAGCAAUCAGGUGAGAAAGGCCUUGGUCAGGGAGGUGAACAAGAACCUGAUGGUCACUCUGACAGAGCUCCAGAGUUCCUCUGUGGAGAUUGGAGAACCCUCCAGAAGGACAACCAUCUCUGCAGCACUCCACCAAUCAGGUCUUUCUGGUAGAGUGGCCAGACGGAAGCCACUUCUCAGCAAAAGGCAUA